This 1789-nucleotide long non-coding RNA is filed under the name Olea europaea subsp. europaea. The stretch from base 413 to 507 matches the Rfam family "Small nucleolar RNA Z266". Lineage: Eukaryota; Viridiplantae; Streptophyta; Magnoliopsida; Lamiales; Oleaceae. The record is from RNAcentral.
UAAUUUUCAAAAUUUUCAUUUACAGUAUCAGUAGUUGUUCGUAUGCGCAGCCCUUAAGAUCGCCUUCCACUGCCAUCCAUGGAAGCGUUUCGAGUCAUAGCAGCGCUAUAUCAAUUUAAUACAUGCUCACUCAUACUAUAUAUACAUUUUUGUGUUAUAUAUGUUUUUGUGUGAGUGUGUUUUAUGGGUUUCACCUUAAGGGUUUUCCUUUUGGGGAACCCGUUUAUCCCAUCUGGUGUAAUUGGCAUUUCAAAUUGAUUUGGAUCCAUAAUUCUCAUAUAGUUUUCGAACUCCGUCUGAUUUUGUAAAUUAUAGAGUUUUAUAGAUCUAAAAUUACAUUACGAAUGCCUCCGUUAAGAUGGGAGACACCCUUCGAAUUUUACCAUUUCUGAUUCUUUUGAUUAUUGAUUGUUUGUGGCAAGGAUGAUGAUACAAUUAGAUGCCUGAGAGGUGAAUAUCUCUUUGAAUUUAAUUAACGAGGCUUAUUGAUAUCCUGACUUGCCGAUGUUUACAAAAAAAUUCUCUCUCUCUCUCUGGUACUUGUAUUUUGGUACUGAUUUCUGGUGGCAGGGAUGAUGAAAUCAUAAUACAAUUAGAGGGUAAAAUGAAAGACCCUUCUCCUCCUAGUGGCCAGGCUAAUGCAACACAAAGACCCUUCUCCUCCUAGUGGCCAGGCUAAUGCAACACAAAGACCCUUCUCCUCCUAGUGGCCAGGCUAGUGCAACUCGCAACUAGUAAGAAUUCGUUAUCGAGGACCGAUGCCGCACCAAAACUGGUAAGUUGAGAUCCAAAAUGGCAAAAAGGCACAGGUUGGGGACAAAGUUACGAAUCAAUAGAUUGGAUCAAAAUAGAAGAUGCGAAGUUUUGAAAACAUUUAUUACUUAAAAAGGGCCAAUAUUUAGCCCAUUGCUUUCACGAAGUCCGAAUCCAGAAUAAACCCUAAUUCACAUUCAUCUUUCCCAUCCAUCUCUAUUUAUUCGUCGCUCGUCUUCUUUGUUUGAAAACCCUAGCUCUGCUAGGUUCUCUUUUGGUGUGUAUAUGAUUUUGUUUUUCCAUUGAAUUGUGUUAUGCGUCUGAUAGAAGACAAGAAAUUAUUGCGAGCAAGUUCAGCUUCUUGACUGGAUCCCGGUAAAAUCAACGAUCCAGCCAAUUAUUUUACUCAUAACUUGCGAUAAUAAUUUGCCAGUAUCACUCUCCUGAAUUUGUUACUGAAAUUUCAGGCCCUUUAUCCUACUGGCACAUUUUUUCUAAUUUUCUGCCUUAUAUUUUCUUUAUCCAAAAUUUGUGAGAUGUGAUAUUAGAAUUCGUAAUUUUUGGUAGAUUGUAGAUGAUUUGGUGUUACUGGUUGAAUUGAAUUGUGAGCAAACGCACUCUGUCCCUAAACCGUCCAGCAAUGGGCUAAUGUUUUGAGGCAAUUUCUUCGUUUGCGAAAUUAAUAAUGUUCCAAUUUACUCGUCCAUUCGAUCUGUAUUUCGUGAUCUCUAUGGGCACAUGACUGGACUACAUAUAAGAGAAUCAUUUUUAUCACAUUUUUUUACUGUUGCAGAGUAAAUUCCUGACAGCGAGACCAAUUUUACCCGUCAACCCAAUUACCUAGUAUUCAAAAAAUUAUUGUGAUUUUUUUGCCAUUAAAGGGGUAUAAUUGAAAAAUAAAGACAACUUUUAAUAGAUUUUUAUUAAGUCGGUGUCAGAAAUUUUGAAUAAACUGUGCAAUAGUAAAAAAAUGUACACCAGUGAGAUGAAAAUCAUCAUUUUUUUGCCAUUAAAGGGGUAUAAUUGAAAAAAAAAA